This 1934-nucleotide long non-coding RNA is filed under the name Homo sapiens (human). RNAcentral describes it as "HSALNT0329771". Lineage: Eukaryota; Metazoa; Chordata; Mammalia; Primates; Hominidae. The record is from RNAcentral.
GUUCUCUAGACUUUUUUUUUUUUUUUUUUUUUACCAGACAGAUCCUUCUUGUUGCUCAGAAUAUAAUUUCAGUGAGGCCCUUCUCCUUAUUGCUUCCUUAACCUCCUGAGAGAGAAAACUGUCAGAAAAGAGAAUUAAGAAUUAAAGCAAGUGAAGAAUUUAUUGGUUUCUUUUUUUUUUCUAGAAGAUUUCCAACUGCCCAGAUACCCCGUGCACCACGCCAGUUUGCUUCUGUGCCAGUUUUAUAAUUUCAAUUGAGAAAGCCUCUUCUACACGGAGGGUAAAGAGUUGACAAUUACCUCAGAGUUGAUUGGUUGGUUAGUUUUUUGGUGGGCUAAAAGCCAAUGACCUGGACUUUUUCCAUUUUUUUUUUUUUCCUCUUCACCAAAAAGCCCAAACCCAGGAAGCAAAACACUGAGUGCUGCUCUGGAGUCAGAGAGACCUAGGUGAAAGUCCGAGAUUCUAGUGUUUUCAGCUGUGUGACUGAGGACCAAAGUGAUGAGGAGGGAGGACCUCUCUUGCCCCGAUGAAUUUCUCAACUCAUCUCCAUCGACAGAGGAAUCUCAGUGUGCUGUGUUCCCCACCGCCUCUGCCUGAGCGCCCUGCCCCUGCCCGUCCCCAUCUUCAUCUGGCCAGUUCCUACUGCAAGAACCCUUCAGACACGAUCUCCUCAGAGAAACACUCGCUGACCUCCUGACCCUCACAGGGCCCCUGCUAUGCAUUCCUGGGGCCCUCCUUCUUUCCAUCCUCUUAACAGACCUGACAAGAUCAGCUUCCCCUCCUAAACCAUGAACUCUCUCAAGGACCUGGACUGUGCCUUGUUGUCUGUUCAACUGUGACCUCACUCUAGAUGGUAGAGCCCAAUGCCCAGCAUGCAAUUAACAGGAGCUGCCUGCAGACACAAGGCUGGCUCUGUGUCCCCUCCCAGCUGAGACACUGAGCCCCAGCACUAGGCACGUGGAUGGGUUGGGCACAUGACCUCCCUCCCUUUCUGAGCACCUUGCCCAUUCCAAGAGCUCACGGAAUCAGACUCCGCGACUGCCCUGAGUUCUGACUUCUCUCCCCAUCUCCCUGCACUUUGAUUCUCUUGACCAUGGGUCCUCCUCACUGCAUAUCCCCUGCCUGCUUGAGAAAAGGGAUGCAGCCCAGAUGGUCAAUAACCCCCUGAGGUCCUCCUCCUAGGAAUGUCUGUAUUUGCUCACAAAGAGAAGUUUAUAUAUAUAAAACCAAGAAACAAAUUUCUAAUGGUAUUAAUUGAAUUUUAGGCAGUAGCAGAAAGAAAAAAAGAUUUGGGAAGCAGGGAGUUUCACUUGAUUCCUGAAAUCACCUCUAGUAGGUAAUGCCCACCUCUGCUGUGUCUAAGAUCAGCCCUGACUCAAUCUUAGGAUUAGGCACCGCCUGCCAGCCAUGGCAGGACAGUCCACAGAUAUGUCCCCAGGUGGCCACUGUCACCUCCUUUCAGCCUGACCUCAGCUGGCUGUCCUCCUUGACAACAGUCCUCUCUGGCUGAAGACUGGAAACUGUAGGCUAGAGCUCCUGCUUUCCUUUCUGGGACUCUAACACAGUACCAGCCCAACUUUCCAUGCCUCUGUCAGGUCAGCAUGGUAUCAGAGAUGGCUGUUUGGCCACUCUCCUCCUGCAAUAAUACUCCACGCUCCACCAACCCCUGUUCCAUCUGAGAGCCACUCACAGUCAGCUCUGCCCGAGGUCCCUGAUAGAUUGGCUGGUGCCAAGGAUCCAUUGAGGAGAUGGCACAGAGCCACACAGGGGAGCAACAACAUUGGAAGAGGGCAAGGUCAAGUUGACAAAUACCAUAUACGAUCAGAAAGAAUUGCAUGAACCGCAGUGGCAUAAUGUAGCAUAACAGAUGGAUAAUUAGAUUUAUUCUAAGAGCUGUAAAAGUAAGUAAUUAAAUAAAAAUAUGGAACAAUGAA